RNAcentral lists this ribosomal RNA (493 nucleotides) under uncultured bacterium. RNAcentral describes it as "partial 16S ribosomal RNA". It matches the Rfam family "Bacterial small subunit ribosomal RNA", at positions 27 to 507 of the family's 1533-position model. The record is from RNAcentral.
GAGUGAACGCUGGCGGUAGGCCUAACACAUGCAAGUCGAACGGCAGCACGGUAAGAGCUUGCUCUUACGGGUGGCGAGUGGCGGACGGGUGAGGAAUACAUCGGAAUCUACUUUUUCGUGGGGGAUAACGUAGGGAAACUUACGCUAAUACCGCAUACGACCUACGGGUGAAAGCAGGGGAUCUUCGGACCUUGCGCGAUUGAAUGAGCCGAUGUCGGAUUAGCUAGUUGGCGGGGUAAAGGCCCACCAAGGCGACGAUCCGUAGCUGGUCUGAGAGGAUGAUCAGCCACACUGGAACUGAGACACGGUCCAGACUCCUACGGGAGGCAGCAGUGGGGAAUAUUGGACAAUGGGCGCAAGCCUGAUCCAGCCAUACCGCGUGGGUGAAGAAGGCCUUCGGGUUGUAAAGCCCUUUUGUUGGGAAAGAAAAGCAGCAGGUUAAUACCCCGCUGUUCUGACGGUACCCAAAGAAUAAGCACCGGCUAACUUCGUG